This is a long non-coding RNA of Astyanax mexicanus (Mexican tetra), 431 nucleotides long. RefSeq lists it as uncharacterized. The transcript is spliced from 2 exons. The record is from RefSeq and is a predicted model, not a curated record. NCBI's taxonomy places the organism in Eukaryota, Metazoa, Chordata, Actinopteri, Characiformes, Acestrorhamphidae.
GUGAGUUGUUUGGACUUCUUAUCCCAGAAGUCCCAUAUCCCAGAAUACACCUCGCAGCAGUAUCAGUGGAGAAGAAAGUACCUACCAGACUGCCGUCGACUCUGCCGUCGCAGCUUAAUCUCUGCUGUCGUCUUUGCGCGGCUCGUGGAGAGAGGCGGUUUGAUCAGGCUGGCGGCUUCCUGAAUGGCUUUGGGAGGCCUGCUGGAGCAAGAUUAUCCCCGUUCCCUUUCAAGGCCACAUUCUGAAUGGUUUCAGGAAGGAUGUGUGUGUGUGGGGGGUGGGGGGUGCAUUAGUAAGGAUGCUAUGAGUUGCCAAAAAAACAGAAUCUUGCUUUAAAAUAUUCUAAAUAUUCUAAGAGAAUCUCUAUAACCUUGCAUGAUGUUCACUGUUAAAAAAUUUGGGUACAUUGAUUAAAAAUACUCAUUACAGUA